RNAcentral lists this ribosomal RNA (253 nucleotides) under uncultured bacterium. Its description in RNAcentral is "partial 16S ribosomal RNA". It matches the Rfam family "Bacterial small subunit ribosomal RNA", at positions 524 to 776 of the family's 1533-position model. The record is from RNAcentral.
UACGUAGGUGGCAAGCGUUGUCCGGAUUUAUUGGGCGUAAAGGGCGCGCAGGCGGUUCGUUAAGUCCGAGGUGAAAUCUCCCGGCUCAACUGGGAGAGGUCUUCGGAAACUGGCGGGCUUGAGUGUGGCAGAGGGGGGUGGAAUUCCGCGUGUAGCAGUGAAAUGCGUAGAGAUGCGGAGGAACACCGAUGGCGAAGGCAGCCCCCUGGGCCAACACUGACGCUCAGGCACGAAAGCGUGGGGAGCAAACAGG